UUGCUGGGUAGCUAUUGUUCGGAAGAGAUAAACGCUGAAAGCAUAUAAGCGUGAAACUUGCCUCAAGAUUAGACUUCUGUUGUCCGUAAGGAAUAAGAUCCCUUAUAGAUUAUGAGGUUGAUAGGCUCCAAGUGUAAGUUCCGCAAGGGAUUGAGCUGAGGAGUACUAAUAGAUCGAAAGCUUAUAA
Molecule: ribosomal RNA, 187 nt
Filed under: Candidatus Aenigmatarchaeota archaeon
Lineage: Archaea; Nanobdellati; Candidatus Aenigmatarchaeota
Description: partial 23S ribosomal RNA
Rfam family: Bacterial large subunit ribosomal RNA
Source: RNAcentral